UACUAAUAUUUGCUCUGCUUUUGUAGUUGUGGAUUUUGAACACACCCAGAAUAUUCUACACCCCUUUUGAUGUAAUGAAAACCCAGAUUCAGUGGUAACACCUCUCCGGUUAGUGACAGCACAUAAGACAUGUCACAUUUUGUCUUGGAGAAUCAGAAAUUGUCAUGCUGUUGGCAUUAUAUUGAAACCAGGUGCCAAGAUGAAUCCAGGGUUAGUUUUUCUCAUCAUAUCACUUCAGUGGAUCACAGGUUUUGCAGAUGUAAAUGCUGUUACACAGUCACCAAACUUUAUGCUCGCUGCUAAGGAAAAUGCCACUCUCAACUGCAAUCACACAAAAGGUGAUACUUAUAACAGAAUGUACUGGUUUCGUCAGCAUCAAGGAAAAACUAUGGAGCUCAUAGUGUUCACAACAAGUUUUGGCACUGUGGAAUUUGGAAAGCUGGAAAAAACGAAAUACUCAGUCAAACAUGAAUCUGCUGCCAAGGGUGUUCUUACUGUGAUAAGUCUGGAGUCUGAUGACAAUGCGCUGUAUUUGUGUGCAGUGAGUGAACACAGUGAAGCAGAAUCAUUUCACAGAUGUACAAAAACCCACCUUUUUAAUCUGUCAUGACAACUGAUAUAAAAGAUCACACAGACAGGUGGCGCUCGUGUUUGUCACAAUGCAGCCUUAUAGAAGGACUUAGAUCUUUAUGUAUUUUACAUGACAUACCUGUAAACUCACAGCUAGCACAUUCUCACAACAAGUAAACAUGAUCAGGACUGUCCUCAGUGUUUUUUUUUUUCUCAUCUGUCUCUCAGGUAGAAAAUAUUUGACUAUACACAUCCUUCACAUUUUUUUUUUUACAAAGUCAUGGUUUUUCCCACUAUUUAAUAAACAGCUAAGUAUUAUUAUUAUAAAUUAAAAUGAAUAAAUAAUUAUUCAAUAAAAGCAUAAACAGGACUGUAUGAAAUUAUUAACAUAUUUCCACCUUUUUUAAAAAGAUAUUUCAAAUAGUAAAGAUAUCCAUCAGACUCCCAAAGAUCUGAUCAAGGAUCCUGAACAAUCUGAAGACCUCCACUGUUCUCGUAGUUCAUCUUACAAUGUCAUGCUCUAGUACAAACAAAAGCGUGGCAAAAGUUUGGAGUUGCUUGGAUAUCUUGUGGGUUCUAGUGAUGCAGUUGAGGAUAAGUUCAAAAAUAAAAUCAAAAUAUCAGCCUGAUAAGGAUCUUUUUUUUUUUUUUUCAUUUGAAAGCUCCGCAGCCUCAGACCCCAAUAAAAAAAUAAAGUCAUAGAGGAUUGAACCUCAGUGAGUUUACAUAAUUCUUUUUUUUUUUUUACUAAUUUAUUUUAAUUAAACUUCUAAUUUUAAACAAACAAACAAACAAAAAUCUGGUUAUUCAUUUUAUAGUUUAAAAUGUGAACAACAGAGGGCAGUGUUGUAACUACAAAUAUUUUAGAUUUUACCCCAAUAUGACAUCCUCUGUAAAAGAUGGAAACAUUUCUUAUAUCUCAUACAUAAUCCCGUUCUCUUUCCACUGGCAUGUAAUAGCACACAUCACUUUGUUCUUAAGGAAGAGUAACUUGUGUCAACAUGAGUCAACUUCUGAUUAAUUUAUGCAACCUCUAUUUGUUCUCCACUCUGGAUUCAGGGUAUGUAUUGCUAUUAUUAUUAUUUUUAAAUAUAUUACAUUCAUUUACAUAUGAUAUUAGCUACAGUACAUCACAAACCCAAUCUGUAGAGAUGAAAUUCAUGAUCACUGCUUAAACUGCCUCAAGCAUUUCAUUUUUUUUUUUUUUUUUUUUUUUGUAGGUUCCACUCUGAGUGACUAAGUUGUUCAGAAUCCUUGUGACGUGAUAGUGAAUGUUUCAGAUUCUCCAGAGCUGUAGUGUUCCCAUUGCAUCUCAAGCUAUGACCGUAUCCUGUGGUAUAAACAAACCUGGGAUGGACAGGUUGUUUUAUUGGGAUAGCUCCUUGGUAUAUUCCAUAAUUAAGAGUCUGAAGUCAAAACAAAUUAAAUUUAAAUGGUGAUGGAAAUAAAAAUGGCAAAUUAACAAACAAUCCCUGGAGUUUAAUGAUACUGUCACAUAUUUCUGUGUAGCAUCUACACAGUGCCACACAUUUGGUGUAUCAUUUCUACAAAAGCCGGCUGACGGGCUACAAUUGACCACAGAAUGCUUAUCGACUCACCUUUGAAUUGCAGUUUUAACGUGGAUUUCGCUCCAAACAUCUGCUGAGUCUGAUGUCACAACCUAUGUCUCUUACCUCAAAUGUCUUCAGUUCAGACUCUAACUCAUUCAAUAUGAUCAGAGUUUUGGUUGUGGUUAUUGCUUCUGUGUUCUGGCAAACAGGAAAUUCACUGGCGACCAGCAUCAUUAAUACCCAACAAAUUUAUACACUUUGACAUAAUUUAUAAUGAUUGCAUUGUUUCCUUUUGUCCGGGACCUGUUAGCAGUAAAGUUCACCAAGUACCUCCAGAUCUACUGCUGAAUCUUUAUGAAACACUGCAUGUCAAGUGCAGCCACAACAUUAAUGAUUAUGUCACUUUUCUGUGAUAUCAGCAGCUGAUUGGUGCUCCAGACCUUAAACUCAUCAGAUAUGUGUAUUAUAAAAUACCAGCUAUUGAGCAUGAAUAUACAGAGCUCUUUGAAGUGAGGGGAGAAGCAGAUCUUUACUCUCUAAAAUUAAGACAAACUCAAGACAAUGGCAUGUACUUCUGUGCUGCACGUGCACAGUACUAAAAAUGUGCAUUUUACCUCACAAAAACCCUCAGAGAUCUGAUCUGUUAAACACAACAUCCUACACAUUUGCAAAGAUCACAAUCUAUGAAUUGUAUUCCAACAGCCUUGAUGUUAUGCAUCAGUUAGAAUGAAACGGCAUAGUUUCCUAUCAGUUGGGGGCAGUGUGUCUUCAUGCAUCACUUAUGACACUCUGGUAGUUUAUAUACUCAGUGAAUGCACGUCAGACCUGUCACUACUUCUAUAAGCCCCCACUCAGAAUGUUCCUGAAUCUGUUCAUAUACAUAAGUUUGAUGCUAUCAGUCUCAGGUAAUGUUAAUAUAAUUUAUAUGUCAUAAUACACUUCCUAAUAAUACAAAUUUAGGUUUGUAGUUGUGAUUUCUGUUGUUUUUCUGUAGGUUUGUAAUUGUGAUUUUUGUUUUCACAGGUGAAAAGGGUGACAUGACUGUUCACCAGAAACCUUACAAUCUGAUAAUAAAUUACGGCGAAUCUCCUGAAAUUAAGUGCUUCCACAAAAUCCCAGACUAUGACCGCCUGUUGUGGUACAAGCAAUCCCAGAGUGAAGAGUUAACAUUCAUGGGAUAUCUACUUGGUGACACUGGAUACUCAGAAAAAGCUUUCCAGAACAAAAUUAAAAUACGUGGUGAUGCAAAUAAUUUUCAUGGCUCUUUAACUCUGAUCAAUUCUACAUCAGAAAACAGUGCUGUUUAUUUCUGUGCAGCCUAUUACACAGUAACACUAAAUUUGUUCCUCCCUUACAAAAACCCAGUAUUAAGAAUUAUUGUUUAUAGUCCUACACCUGUGAUAAACCACUGCUAGAUAAUAUAAUGCUCUUUUUCAGAGCCUAGUGAGUUCCCUUCCUACUUACACAGGCAGCUGCCAUCUGUGACGUUCUGAUACAAACCAAGCUUUACAUUUAAAUGAUUUUGAACACUCCAUAUAAAUAACUUCAUAUGAAGUGACUCACCUACAACUGAUUUCAAUAGUAUGAUUAUUUUGCUAGUGAAACACACACCUCUAAAUGUGUUCUGUCCAAUUAAAACUUUCCAAACAGAUGAAAAAUUCCUUACUUAGUCUUAGUGUAUAUGCAUGACAUUUGUUUUCUGUUGUUGUCUGUAAUGGCCAAAUACAUUUUAAAUUACUAAAAAUUAUAGUUCACCCAAAAAUGAAAAUUUGAUGUUUAUCUGCUUACCACCAGGGCAUCCAAGAUGUAGGUGACUUUGUUUCUUCAGUAUCACACAGACCAAGAUUUUUAACUCAAACCGUUGCAGUCUAUCACUCUUAUAAUGUAAGUGGAUGGAAUCAUGGAUAAAACAUACAAUAAAACUAAAAAAAAAAAAACAUACACAAACGAAACCAACUUAAACUCUGCGCUCGUUGACGAUACAUUGAUGUGUAAAGACACAAAACUAUCAGUCUGUGCAAGAUUCACACAAUGUCUGAACUGUUAGAACUCUCCUGAUCGUGUCCUCCUGAGUGCAUUCUCAGCAGCAG
Molecule: long non-coding RNA, 4210 nt
Organism: Cyprinus carpio carpio
Lineage: Eukaryota; Metazoa; Chordata; Actinopteri; Cypriniformes; Cyprinidae
Source: Ensembl